CUAAAAAUAUUAUUUGCCUAUUUCACGAUUCUGCGCAGUAUCAACUACACUAGUUGCUAUGGUAUGAAUGUUUUUGUUCCCCCAAAAUUUAUAUGUUGAAAUCCUAACACCCAAGGUGUUGGUAUUAGGAGCUGGGGCCCUUAGAGGAUGAUUAGGUCAUAAAGAAGAACACUCACCAAUGUGAUUAGCUCCCUUAUAAAAGAGGGAUGAAAGAAACCCCUCGCUCCCUUCCACCAUGUGAGAAAACAGCAUGUCGCCGCCGUCUAUGAACCAGAAAGUGAGCCCUCACCAAUCACUGAAUCUGCUAAGAAGGCCUACAAGCAACAAUAUCCCAGAAGGAAGAGGCACACUCACUGCCCAGAUCUUGAUUUCUAAUACCAUUCUACAAUAAAAUCAAACAGAGCUCCCUGGAUAAAUGUCCAAUUUUGGCGUGGAGGAAGGAAACAUAAAAGAUGAUCUCAGAACACCUUGUAGUGCCAGAAAAUAAGGAAGUACUCAAAAACAAAGAAACCAAAAAUCACACACACAAAGACGGGGGGAUGUCAAAGAGACACAGAAGAGAAGCCACCAAAAGAGUUCUCUAUGGCCAAACCUGAAAUAAACUGAACGAGAAAAUAAAGUAGUAAGAUAUUUAAA
Molecule: non-coding RNA, 636 nt
Organism: Macaca mulatta (Rhesus monkey)
Lineage: Eukaryota; Metazoa; Chordata; Mammalia; Primates; Cercopithecidae
Source: RefSeq, a predicted model, not a curated record